UUAUUUUAUUUUAAUAUUUCAUUACAUUCUUUGACUGGUGUUUAAAAUGAGCCGCAGGUCAAGGCAAAGAAAAAGAUCAAGGUUUUUAACACCCAUUUCUUUCUUCACCAAGUCCCGCCAAUAAAUGCACAGAGUUAGAAAAUGGAGGUCAGGCUCUACAAGUAGACACCCUAAAAUUCAUUAAUGAUCCUUCCGCAGGUUCACCUACGGAAA
Molecule: unclassified non-coding RNA, 213 nt
Filed under: uncultured fungus
Lineage: Eukaryota; Fungi
Description: sequence contains ITS1
Source: RNAcentral